AAGACGUCGCGUGCACUGGGAGCUGCUUCAUCUUUGCAAUAUAUCUCUCUCUCUCUCAAAUCCAAUCCUCAUCUUUGUCCCCAAGUCGGAAUCUGAGCAUCUCCUUUCUGCCGAUGCCGCGAUACAAGAACCAUCGGAGAGGAGACAGAGUGGGGUGAUUCAGUCGAGUUCGACGGGGGUGGUGUGAAAGGCCUUUAUUUGGGUAGAAAUUCAACGACUUAGUAUUGAAUCUGGAGUGAGGAUGUCUGUGUUGCAGAGCCUUUGAUGGGAGAAAAAAUUCAACGCCUUGGACUGAAUCUUGCAUCAGACCCAAUGUGAUCCUUUCUCCAUCAAACCCAUGUAAUUUUCGUUUUAUGGAGGAUUUGUUUUCUUCCAUGUAUGAGGUUAUGGAUUUGUGCUUCAAAAUAAGAACUCUGGUCAUGAUGAAUCCAAUUGGAGUUUUCGGGCUUGUUAGUGGAGAACUGAG
Prunus dulcis (almond) is the source of this 466-nucleotide long non-coding RNA. RefSeq lists it as uncharacterized. The record is from RefSeq and is a predicted model, not a curated record. Lineage: Eukaryota; Viridiplantae; Streptophyta; Magnoliopsida; Rosales; Rosaceae. The transcript has 3 exons.